CAUCGAUCGAAUGUUUUUUUUUUUUUUACAUUCACCGCGUGUAUUAACAAAGUUUCCGACACGGAAAAGGGUGUUUAUUUUUCGAAUUGUUUCCGGGGCUUCGAAUUAGGUGGAUCAAUACGUCCGAACAGCGCGCUGUUGAAUGCCGGUGAAAACGGACAGGUCGACACCGCGCGAUCGCAAUCCGACCGGCAACGAAAUGUUAAUUUUCGUUCUCGAACCCGCCACCUUCUAGCCAGUAAAAAUUCUCGCUACAAGAAAACACGUUUAUUAUCAAAAUAAAUGACAUAUAUACGAACGGAAUAACAAAUAAGAUAUUUUCCUUAAACUAUUAUUGUUGGAGUAGUGUGGUUUCCAAGCUGUAAGAAA
This is a long non-coding RNA of Athalia rosae (coleseed sawfly), 369 nucleotides long. RefSeq lists it as uncharacterized. The transcript is spliced from 2 exons. Lineage: Eukaryota; Metazoa; Arthropoda; Insecta; Hymenoptera; Athaliidae. The record is from RefSeq and is a predicted model, not a curated record.